Molecule: long non-coding RNA, 406 nt
Organism: Alligator sinensis (Chinese alligator)
Lineage: Eukaryota; Metazoa; Chordata; Crocodylia; Alligatoridae
Exons: 3
Source: RefSeq, a predicted model, not a curated record
AAAACCUGCACUAAGCCAUGGAACAUCUGUUAAGUUUUAAGUACACAAAAGCAGCUGCUGAAGAAACAGCUUCAGACUGAGAGUGCGAGAACCGACAGCAGCACCGCUAAGCAACCUCCAGUGGAGACAGAGAAGAGAGACGGAUAAGUGCACAGACGCCCACAGGAGUUUCUGUAAGAGACAAAAUUAUCAGCUUGGCUCACCUCAGCUUUAUUUCCUAUUUCCAGACCCCCAGAACUAUUCUAAAAUAAAGGAGAAGGGAUGGAGAACAAGAGACCCAGGACAGCUUGCCAUGGCAAAGACAUUAGGGAUGAGAGAAUGAGGAUGAGAAGACCCAAUUCUUUUGUGGAGAGAACUACAUUCAACAAGGACUCUCAUUUGCUCAGCACAUUCAUGUAAAAUAUAU